This 1298-nucleotide ribosomal RNA is filed under the name metagenome. Its description in RNAcentral is "bacterial LSU rRNA". It matches the Rfam family "Bacterial large subunit ribosomal RNA", at positions 1553 to 2866 of the family's 2925-position model. The record is from RNAcentral.
AUGCUAGGAUGUGAUGGGGAAGCCCUCCGGGGCGAAGUAGCUGAUUUCACACUGUCAAGAAAAGCUUCUAUCGAGUUUAAAGGCGCCCGUACCGUAAACCGACACAGGUGGGUGAGGAGAGUAUCCUAAGGCCAGCGAGAGAACUAUUGUUAAGGAACUCGGCAAAAUGACCCCGUAACUUAGGGAGAAGGGGUGCCUGUCUAUGACAGGCCGCAGAGAAUAGGCCCAAGCGACUGUUUACCAAAAACACAGGUUUCUGCUAAGUCGCAAGACGAUGUAUAGGAGCUGACGCCUGCCCGGUGCUGGAAGGUUAAGGGGAUCUGUUAGAGCAAUCGAAGCAGUGAACUUAAGCCCCAGUAAACGGCGGCCGUAACUAUAACGGUCCUAAGGUAGCGAAAUUCCUUGUCGGGUAAGUUCCGACCCGCACGAAAGGCGUAACGAUUUGGGCACUGUCUCAGCAAUAGACUCGGUGAAAUUGUAAUCCCGGUGAAGAUGCCGGGUACCUGCGACAGGGCGGAAAGACCCCAUGGAGCUUUACUGUAGCUUGACGUUGGGUCUUGGUACUACAUGUACAGGAUAGGUGGGAGACUAUGAAGCAUGGACGCCAGUCUGUGUGGAGUCAUCCUUGGGAUACCACCCUUGUAGUACUGGGAUCCUAACCAUAGGCCUUGAAUCAGGUCUUGGAACACCGUCAGGUGGGCAGUUUGACUGGGGCGGUCGCCUCCUAAAAAGUAACGGAGGCGCUCAAAGGUUUCCUCAGCACGGUCGGAAAUCGUGCGAAGAGUGUAAAGGCAAAAGGAAGCUUGAUUGCAAGACAUACAGGUCGAGCAAGGACGAAAGUCGGACUUAGUGAUCCGGUGGUACCGCAUGGAAGGGCCAUCGCUCAACGGAUAAAAGCUACCCUGGGGAUAACAGGCUUAUCUCCCCCAAGAGUCCACAUCGACGGGGAGGUUUGGCACCUCGAUGUCGGCUCAUCACAUCCUGGGGCUGUAGUAGGUCCCAAGGGUUGGGCUGUUCGCCCAUUAAAGUGGUACGCGAGCUGGGUUCAGAACGUCGUGAGACAGUUCAGUCCCUAUCCGUCGCAGGCGUAGGAAAUUUGAGAAGACCUGUCCUUAGUACGAGAGGACCGGGAUGGACGUACCUCUGGUGUACCAGUUGUUCUGCCAAGGGCAUGGCUGGGUAGCUAUGUACGGAAUGGAUAAGCGCUGAAAGCAUCUAAGCGCGAAGCCAACUUCAGGAUAAGAUUUCCCACCGUAAGGGUAAGACCCCAGGAAGACUACCUGGUUGAUAGGUCGAAG